UACGGAGGGUGCGAGCGUUAAUCGGAAUUACUGGGCGUAAAGCGCGCGUAGGCGGUUUGAUGAGUCCGUCGUGAAAGCCCUGGGCUUAACCUGGGAACUGCGGUGGAUACUGUCGGGCUAGAGUGUGGUAGAGGGGAGUGGAAUUUCCGGUGUAGCAGUGAAAUGCGUAGAGAUCGGAAGGAACACCAGUGGCGAAGGCGGCUCCCUGGACCAACACUGACGCUGAGGUGCGAAAGCGUGGGGAGCAAACAGG
RNAcentral lists this ribosomal RNA (253 nucleotides) under uncultured bacterium. Its description in RNAcentral is "partial 16S ribosomal RNA". It matches the Rfam family "Bacterial small subunit ribosomal RNA", at positions 524 to 776 of the family's 1533-position model. The record is from RNAcentral.